GAUGAACGCUGGCGACAUGGAUAAGGCAUGCAAGUCGAACGAGGCCUAGAGCCGAGUGGCAGACGAGGUAGGAACAUGUGGGAACUUGCCCUCAAGUCAGGAAUAAUCCGUCGAAAGACGGACUAAUACUUGAUAGUCCCUUCGGGGUAAAGCGUAUGCGCUUGAGGAGAGGCCUGCACGGUAUCAGGUAGUUGGUAGGGUAAUGGCCUACCAAGCCUAUGACGCCUAGGGGAGCUGAGAGGCUGACCCCCACCGAUGGUACUGAGACACGGACCAUACACCUACGGGUGGCCGCAGUCGAGAAUCUUCCGCAAUGGGCGCAAGCCUGACGGAGCGAUGUCGCGAGAUCGAUGAAGUGUUUCGGCAUGUAAAGAUCUUUUCUAGAGGAGGAAGUUUAUUGACGUUACUCUAGGAAUAAGGGGUUGCUAAACUCGUGCCAGCAGCAGCGGUAAUACGAGUGCCCCGAGCGUUAUCCGGAAUUAUUGGGCGUAAAGGGUCCGCAGGCGGAACUGUUAGUCUCAUGUGAAAUCUCCCGGCUUAACUGGGAACACGCAUGGGAAACGGCAGAUCUAGAGGACAUGAGAGGUGUGUGGAACUCAUAGUGUAGGGGUGAAAUCCGUUGAUAUUAUGGGGAACACCAAAUGCGAAGGCAACACACUGGCAUGCUCCUGACGCUCAGGGACGAAAGCACGGGUAGCGAAUGGGAUUAGAUACCCCAGUAGUCCGUGCCCUAAACGAUCUUGACUUGCUUUUUGGGGAAUCGACCCCUCAAGAGGCGGAGCUAACGCGUUAAGUCAAGCGCCUGGGUAGUACGACCGCAAGGUUAAAACUCAAAGGAAUAGACGGGGACUUGCACAAGCGGUGGAUCAUGUGGCUUAAUUCGUCGCUAAACGAAGAACCUUACCAAGGCUAGAAAUCUAUACGAAAGACUAUGGAAACAUAGUCCCUCUUCGGACGUAUAGACAGGUGAUGCAUGGCCGUCGUCAGUUCGUGGUUUGAAUUGUUCCCUUAAGUGGGGUAACGAACGCAACCCUCGUCGUGUGUUACAAGUGUCACACGAGACUGCCCCCGCCUUAGUUUUUAAACUUCUCUGCAUAAGAGAAAGGAUUUGAAACCUGAGGCGGGGGAGGAAGGCGAGGAUGACGCCAGGUCAGCAUGUCCCUUGAUGCCUUGGGCUGCACACGUGAUACAAUGCCAAUAACAACGAGACGCAAUACCGUAAGGUGGAGCAAAUCUUUAUAAAAAUUGGCCCAGUUCGGAUUGAGGUCUGCAACUCGACCUCAUGAAGUUGGAAUCGCUAGUAAUCGCAGGUCAGCUAUACUGCGGUGAAUACGUUCUCAAGUCCUGUACUCACCGCCCGUCAAGUCAAGGGAGCUGGGAGCACCCGAAGUC
RNAcentral lists this ribosomal RNA (1392 nucleotides) under uncultured bacterium. RNAcentral's name for it is "16S ribosomal RNA". It matches the Rfam family "Bacterial small subunit ribosomal RNA". The record is from RNAcentral.